CGGGAUGGGCCCGCGUCCCAUUAGCUAGUUGGAGGGGUAACGGCCCGCCAAGGCGAAGAUGGGUAGCCGGCCUGAGAGGGCGAACGGCCACACUGGGACUGAGAUACGGCCCAGACUCCUACGGGAGGCAGCAGCUAAGAAUAUUCCGCAAUGGACGAAAGUCUGACGGAGCGACGCCGCGUGGAUGACGAAGGCCGAAAGGUUGUAAAAUCCUUUUGCGGGCGAAGAAUAAGCGGGGCAGGGAAUGGCUCUGCGAUGACGUUAGCCCGUGAAGAAGCCCCGGCUAAUUACGUGCCAGCAGCCGCGGUAACACGUAAGGGGCGAGCGUUGUUCGGAAUUAUUGGGCGUAAAGAGCUCGUAGGUGGUUGAUUGCGUCUGGCGUGAAAGCUCAUGGCUUAAACUGUGGGUUUGCGUUGGGUACGGGUUGACUGGAGUGCUGUAGGGGUAACUGGAAUUCCUGGUGUAGCGGUGGAAUGCGCAGAUAUCAGGAGGAACACCGAUGGCGAAGGCAGGUUACUGGGCAGUUACUGACGCUGAGGAGCGAAAGCAUGGGGAGCGAACAGGAUUAGAUACCCUGGUAGUCCAUGCUGUAAACGUUGGGCACUAGAUGUGGGGGCCUUUGUUGGUUUCCGUGUCGUAGCUAACGCAUUAAGUGCCCCGCCUGGGGAGUACGGCCGCAAGGCUAAAACUCAAAGGAAUUGACGGGGGCCCGCACAAGCGGCGGAGCAUGCGGAUUAAUUCGAUGCAACGCGAAGAACCUUACCAAGGCUUGACAUCACCCGGAUCGCAGCAGAGAUGUUGUUUCCUUUUGGGCUGGGUGACAGGUGGUGCAUGGUUGUCGUCAGCUCGUGUCGUGAGAUGUUGGGUUAAGUCCCGCAACGAGCGCAACCCUUGUCUCAUGUUGCCAGCACGUUAUGGUGGGGACUCAUGGGAGACUGCCGGGGUUAACUCGGAGGAAGGUGGGGAUGACGUCAAAUCAUCAUGCCCCUUAUGUCUUGGGCUUCACGCAUGCUACAAUGGCUGGUACAGAGGGUUGCGAUAUCGUGAGGUGGAGCGAAUCCCUUAAAGCCAGUCUCAGUUCGGAUUGGGGUCUGCAACUCGACCCCAUGAAGUCGGAGUCGCUAGUAAUCGCAGAUCAGCAACGCUGCGGUGAAUACGUUCCCGGGCCUUGUACACACCGCCCGUCAAGUCACGAAAGUUGGUAACACCCGAAGCCCACGGCCCAACCAGUAAUGGGGGGAGUGGUCGAAGGUGGGACUGGCGAUUGGGACUAAGUCGUAACAAGGUA
RNAcentral lists this ribosomal RNA (1288 nucleotides) under uncultured Actinomycetes bacterium. Its description in RNAcentral is "bacterial SSU rRNA". It matches the Rfam family "Bacterial small subunit ribosomal RNA", at positions 221 to 1498 of the family's 1533-position model. The record is from RNAcentral. Lineage: Bacteria; Bacillati; Actinomycetota; Actinomycetes.